GUGUGUAACAGCUGAAGAAUGCCCUCUAGAGUGUAUCCGAUCGAGUCUUUUUCGCUUCGCGUUGAAUGUAUUUUCACACCGCGUGCCAAAAUUCUAUCCCGGAUAAACAGAUUAAUACGCGGUAACGACGCAUAUAUUAUCCGCAAUGAAUUUCGCUGCGGGAGGAGCGGCGGGAGGGAACCUUCGCUCGCGAGGAUCUCGACUCCUCCGUUCCCUUUUGACCAUCGUUGCUCUCGCGCCGUGUGUAUGUGUGUGUGUGCGCGUGUGUGUGUGUGUGUGUGUUGCCCCACCGUCCGCUUCAUUGUUCAGUCGGCCAAUCACGCCCACGGCUAAGGAGAGCUUGCGGCAUCGCGCGUGGCGCUCGUGCGUUCUCGCCCGACAGACGAGACGGCCCGAUUAGGCCGAAUUCGCACGAGUUCGCUACCGAGCAAGCGGCCGAGCGUUGCGAGCAACCGAAGGGGUGCCGAGGGGACCAGAGGGGGAGGGUGAAACGAUGCAAGAGAGGAGCGAGAGACGCGAGCACACGAUGGAGAGACGAAGAGAGGAAAGAAGAAUCCCGCGCGCGCGGUCCCCAGAGUCGAUUCCACCUACGAGGCGAAGUGCGCAGCGGGCGGAAAGAAUCGGAGCAUCUGUAGAUGACCCCCGGAAGCGAGCUGUCGAAGUGUCCAUUCGAUUUCCGCGUAUCCGCACGGGGAUUGCCAAGCGGCCCGUGAAAAGUAUGUUUUCGGUACCUUCCCCCGGCAUGUUCCCGUGAUUAAUCGAUCGGGGAACUGCCUCCUCCCCCCCCUUCCGCCGCAUACCGUUAAACAGCCACUAAAUCGUGGCACAUCGUAAGCUUCGCUUCGUAACGACGAAUUUAAAUCUCUCUACAAGUCUUUGAAAAUCUCUAGAAAAACCGUUUUAUCUAUUGGACAGCAUUCCAUCUAGGAAUCCGUUCGUACUCUGCAAAACUACAAGCUCAUGGCAAUAAGCUGACCGUUAAUCAAUUUCUUUAAAGUGAAAAGUAACGAUCUCGAAGUGAUAAUCGUGCCGUAAGAUUAUCGGCGUUUCAGAAACCGAUAGCGUUAAAACAUUAAAACGCGACGCCAGCGGCGGUCCGAUACAAAACUGGGGCAACGAUUAGGAGUGGGGCAGGAAAUCGCUAAUCGGGCUUAAUUAGCCAAGGUUCCCGGUGCAACUGGGAUCCUGUGAACGGUGAACCAGAUAUACUCCGUUAUCAUUAUCAUUGUAAGCGAACGCGAGCUGGGGUAUCCUACUGCCCGAUGCUGCGGCUCAGCUGGGAGCGGGAGGCGGCGUGAUCUGUCGCCCUCGGCGGCUACGUCCCAAGUGGCGAGACACGGCCAGCGGGUGGCGGUGCGCGGCAGGUGCAGCUGACGGCGCGGACAAGAGGGAGGGAGAGAGUGAAAGAAAGAGAGAGAGAGAGAGAGCGUGCUUUCGGCUCCUCCCGACGCGAGACGACGCGACACGAUCGUCGUCGCUCGACUGGACGGCGGGCGCGGAGUGUAUAUAAAUAGGCGGCACGUCGACCGACCGUCUGGUCUCUCACCGGUGUUACGCUAUUGCAUGCACGCCACUUCGUGCGGAUACGCGCGCGAGAGGGGUGGUUUUCUCGUAUCGACUCGCGCCGUGCCUCUGCAUUACCGACAAUGACGAUGACGACGAUGACGCUGAUGAUGAUGACGGUGACGACAAUGUAACGUGACGAUCGAGUCUUCGAUAGGAUAGGUAGCCCAUUGGUCCAGCGGGAAACUUCAGCGACCAACGGUUUGCCGCAGAGAGAGAGCGUCACAUCGAUCGCAAAACCAGAAGCUUCUCACGGAAUUCUCCAGCGCGUUCAUGAAAGGGUUGCGCUCAUUUCCCUCACAAAACAGCCAUCAAUCCCCCAUGAAAGUAAAAUAAAACAAUAUAUGAAAAUAAACUAAAUCAAUGUAUAUUUCUACGAAAUCUGGUAAUCAAUUUCAGAUUACUUAUAAAUUAUAUACUAA
Molecule: long non-coding RNA, 1985 nt
Organism: Solenopsis invicta (red fire ant)
Lineage: Eukaryota; Metazoa; Arthropoda; Insecta; Hymenoptera; Formicidae
Exons: 2
Source: RefSeq, a predicted model, not a curated record